UACGUAGGGAGCGAGCGUUGUCCGAAUUUACUGGGCGUAAAGCGCGCGUAGGCGGGUUUUUAAGUUGGGGGUGAAAUGCCGAGGCUUAACCUCGGAACUGCCUCCAAAACUGGAAGCCUUGAGGUAUGGAGAGGGAAGUGGAAUUCCAGGUGUAGCGGUGAAAUGCGUAGAUAUCUGGAGGAACACCCGUGGCGAAGGCGGCUUCCUGGCCAUAUCCUGACGCUGAGGUGCGAAAGCUAGGGGAGCGAACGGGAUUAGAUACCCCGGUAGUCCUAGCCGUAAACGAUGGAUACUAGGUGUUAGAGGUAUCGACCCCUCUAGUGCCGGAGCUAACGCAUUAAGUAUCCCGCCUGGGGAGUACGACCGCAAGGUUGAA
RNAcentral lists this ribosomal RNA (376 nucleotides) under uncultured bacterium. Its description in RNAcentral is "bacterial SSU rRNA". It matches the Rfam family "Bacterial small subunit ribosomal RNA", at positions 524 to 898 of the family's 1533-position model. The record is from RNAcentral.